RNAcentral lists this ribosomal RNA (506 nucleotides) under uncultured bacterium. Its description in RNAcentral is "partial 16S ribosomal RNA". It matches the Rfam family "Bacterial small subunit ribosomal RNA", at positions 29 to 523 of the family's 1533-position model. The record is from RNAcentral.
AGUGAACGCUGGCGGUAGGCCUAACACAUGCAAGUCGAACGGCAGCACAGAGGAGCUUGCUCCUUGGGUGGCGAGUGGCGGACGGGUGAGGAAUACAUCGGAAUCUACUUUUUCGUGGGGGAUAACGUAGGGAAACUUACGCUAAUACCGCAUACGACCUACGGGUGAAAGCAGGGGAUAUUCGGACCUUGCGCGAUUGAAUGAGCCGAUGUCGGAUUGGCUAGUUGGCGGGGGAAAGGCCCACCAAGGCGACGAUCCGUAGCUGGUCUGAGAGGAUGAUCAGCCACACUGGAACUGAGACACGGUCCAGACUCCUACGGGAGGCAGCAGUGGGGAAUAUUGGACAAUGGGCGCAAGCCUGAUCCAGCCAUACCGCGUGGGUGAAGAAGGCCUUCGGGUUGUAAAGCCCUUUUGUUGGGAAAGAAAUCCAGCCGGCUAAUACCUGGUUGGGAUGACGGUACCCAAAGAAUAAGCACCGGCUAACUUCGUGCCAGCAGCCGCGGUAA